UACGUAGGGCGCAAGCGUUAUCCGGAAUUAUUGGGCGUAAAGAGCUCGUAGGCGGUUUGUCGCGUCUGCCGUGAAAGUCCGGGGCUCAACUCCGGAUCUGCGGUGGGUACGGGCAGACUAGAGUGAUGUAGGGGAGACUGGAAUUCCUGGUGUAGCGGUGAAAUGCGCAGAUAUCAGGAGGAACACCGGUGGCGAAGGCGGGUCUCUGGGCCGUAAUUGACGCUGAGGAGCGAAAGCGUGGGGAGCGAACAGG
This 253-nucleotide ribosomal RNA is filed under the name uncultured bacterium. RNAcentral's name for it is "partial 16S ribosomal RNA". It matches the Rfam family "Bacterial small subunit ribosomal RNA", at positions 524 to 776 of the family's 1533-position model. The record is from RNAcentral.